CCGAGUUUACAACUCCCAAACCCCUGUGAACAUACCACUUAUGUUGCCUCGGCGGAUCAGCCCGCGCCCCGUAAAACGGGACGGCCCGCCAGAGGAACCCUAAACUCUGUUUCUAUAGUGGAACUUCUGAGUAAAAACCAUAAUAAAUCA
Molecule: unclassified non-coding RNA, 150 nt
Filed under: soil metagenome
Description: partial internal transcribed spacer 1
Source: RNAcentral